UUACACUGCAAAUUUAGGUCAGUAGAAGUCAGUUUUCUGAAGAACUCAGCACACCCACAACCAUAACCUCUAUAAGGCUACAAGUUAAUACUUCUGCAAAAAAAAGAAAAAGUGACAAAACUGAUUCUUGUAAUAGCACAACAGCCAACGUUACACAGGCUAUUCCACUGAUCAUUUCGACUCCUUAAGUUAAAUAGAUGCAUUUUGCAAUCUUCAUUUCUGCAAAUUGUGAAGUCGGCCUCCAUUUAUCAGUUUCCAGAGUGCUGCUUUGGCUUCUUCUAGUGUUUCAACUGAAUGGCCUUCUUCAAAUGAUAUUCUUUGUACAUUGAACUGUGCCCCUUGACGAACACGGAUAUCUGUCCCCUUGCUAUCUAUUGAGAUCAAAGCGGCAUCAUCCACCUCAGUUUCUUGUGCUAAAAGAUCUUUUAGAGGCUUCGAAAAUAUUGCAUUGAGCUCCUUAAGAUAUUGUUCACCACCAUCAACAGCAAUUUUAUCAGGAUGAAGUGACUCAUACUCCUUGACAUCCACCCAAGCAACAGUUCCAAAGCCUCCAAUGAAAUAUAUAUCGCUUAUAUUUUGCAUCCUAAAGUAAAAGAAGUUUCCCCAUUGUUGAGAAGGACCUUGCUGAUGUUUUGCUAUAUACUGCUUGUGUGCCCAUUCCUGUUGAUCUUCAGGUAGUGGAUAGACAUCACCAAAUAUCGUGACCCUUGCAUUAGAUAAACCACUCCAUCCUGGAAUCUGUACAACCAAUGUGCAUCUCGGGUCAGCUAGCAAAUUACGGGUAUGUAUAGCUAAUGGCGAGAACGAAAAUAUCGGAUGCCCCAUAGAAUCUGGCGCAAAAUCUACAAGUGUGCCAAAUGGGUAGCCUUCUCGUCGAUGGUGCAUCCGGGACAUCACAGUACAUAAAUGAGCAAAUCUAGCCUGCUCCAUUAGAUUGCGGACAGCUAAGGCAGGUUUAGGUAGGCCGUGAGCUGAGGUUGCACUUUGUACCCCUCCAGAAAUGGGAGUUCUGAAAAGCCCAGCCCUUGUACCGCCACUAGUUGAGUGUUCAAGGGGUGAAACCACUUUUGAAGCUUGAUUCAAAUCAUUUCUGUUUAUUUCUUGUUUAUCUGAAUUAUCCUGGGACAACGAAAAGGUUGAUUCAGGAACUAAGCCAAACGCAUUAUCACAUUUCAACCCAUUAAUAUCCUCUUCUUCGCAGCCGCUUUCACCCGAGAGUUCAGCACGGCUAACCACUAGACGGGGAGAGCAGCCGCCUCCAAAAGAGCUAGUAGAAGGCGGGCUAAAACUAAUUUUGGGAUAACAAAUACUGCGCCUGUUGGAUGGUUUGAUGGAUUGAAAUACUGGAGGAGUUUCUGAAAACCUGGAGACACGAUUGGAGCUUGAGAUGGCUGCUUCCAUGGAGGAAGAGAGAGUAUGCGACGACGCCAUGUUUAAGAGUUACUAUGAGAUUGGGGCAAUGUCAGCUUGUGAAGUUAAAAAGAGG
Molecule: unclassified non-coding RNA, 1486 nt
Filed under: Hevea brasiliensis (rubber tree)
Lineage: Eukaryota; Viridiplantae; Streptophyta; Magnoliopsida; Malpighiales; Euphorbiaceae
Source: RNAcentral